Molecule: ribosomal RNA, 238 nt
Filed under: uncultured Anaplasma sp.
Lineage: Bacteria; Pseudomonadati; Pseudomonadota; Alphaproteobacteria; Rickettsiales; Anaplasmataceae
Description: partial 16S ribosomal RNA
Rfam family: Bacterial small subunit ribosomal RNA
Source: RNAcentral
UACGGAGGGGGCAAGCGUUGUUCGGAAUUAUUGGGCGUAAAGGGCAUGUAGGUGGUUUGGUUAGUUAAAGGUGAAAUGCCAGGGCUUAACCCUGGAGCUGCUUUUAAUACUGCCAGACUGGAGUCCGGGAGAGGAUAGCGGAAUUCCUAGUGUAGAGGUGAAAUUCGUAGAUAUUAGGAGGAACACCAGUGGCGAAGGCGGCUAUCUGGUCCGGUACUGACACUGAGGUGCGAAAGCG